UAAAAAGCUGUGAGCAGGACGAGUACAUUUGUACACUUCAGUUCAGCGAGCCGGUGACCGGAUUUCCGGAGGUGUGAUGACCGGCCUGGAGAGCAUAUGGAAUGGACCUGUGAGCUGUCCACCGAAAGCAACUGCAAGUAGGCUGGGCCGGCUGCCGCCGUUAGCAGGCUAGGGUAUCGGAUUUUUGUCCCGUACCUGAAUAAGGAAAAGUGCAGACUUUUCAAAUAGGGUGGUAUCGCGACCAUUUCGCCCCUGGGGUGAAGUGGUCUUUUUAUUUACCCAAUUGACUGUAUUUUUCAAAAUAGGGUGGUACCGCGGACCAUUUCGCCCCUUUC
RNAcentral lists this non-coding RNA (335 nucleotides) under Sporomusa sphaeroides. Its description in RNAcentral is "T-box sequence". The stretch from base 1 to 257 matches the Rfam family "T-box leader". Rfam says of the family: Uncharged tRNA acts as the effector for transcription antitermination of genes in the T-box leader family. T-boxes are found upstream of many aminoacyl-tRNA synthetase genes and some amino acid biosynthetic genes usually in Gram-positive bacteria. Lineage: Bacteria; Bacillati; Bacillota; Negativicutes; Selenomonadales; Sporomusaceae. The record is from RNAcentral.